GCCCAGGUGGCGGAAUUGGUAGACGCGCCAGCUUGAGGGGCUGGUUCCGAAAUUCGGAGUGGAGGUUCGAGUCCUCUCCUGGGCA
RNAcentral lists this transfer RNA (85 nucleotides) under Minwuia thermotolerans. It matches the Rfam family "tRNA". Rfam says of the family: Transfer RNA (tRNA) molecules are approximately 80 nucleotides in length. Their secondary structure includes four short double-helical elements and three loops (D, anti-codon, and T loops). Lineage: Bacteria; Pseudomonadati; Pseudomonadota; Alphaproteobacteria; Minwuiales; Minwuiaceae. The record is from Rfam by way of RNAcentral.